This 84-nucleotide transfer RNA is filed under the name Planctomycetota bacterium. Its description in RNAcentral is "Planctomycetes bacterium tRNA-Ala". It matches the Rfam family "tRNA". From Rfam's summary of the family: Transfer RNA (tRNA) molecules are approximately 80 nucleotides in length. Their secondary structure includes four short double-helical elements and three loops (D, anti-codon, and T loops). The record is from RNAcentral. Lineage: Bacteria; Pseudomonadati; Planctomycetota.
CGGGGCGUCGCAAGGCCUCGUCAGCCUGGUGAGAGCGCUUGGUUUGCGACCAGGACGUCGAAGGUUCGAAUCCUUUCGCCCCGA